CAUUGCAUUUUUAAAUAGAUCUAUCAAUUAUUUGAAUUUAAACUUAGUUGGGUUGAUUCUUGUUUAUCCUCGUGAAACUGGAAAUUUAUGGUGUUGAGAAGCAAUUAGUGUUAUUUUAUUAGUUAUUCACUAGGGUUCAUUUUAAGGAAAGACAAAUACGAAUAAAGAGAUCCCCAUAAAAAUAAUAAGGUUAUCUCUAUUUUAAAUUUUUUUUUACUCGUAUUUAUUUUAUCUUUUUCAAAGAAGACUUCAGGAAGUAAUUAAGUACUAAGAAACAACCAUUCUGACCAUAUUUCUUCCCUUCAUUGUGUUACGAGUUUCAAAAGCAAAACAACGAGAAGAACAAUCGCAACAGUUAAGCUGCUACAGUAGAGGAAGAAGUGUAGUAGCUGGAGCUUGUUGGGAAAAUUCUUACACGAGUAACGCGGGCACCUGCUCUAACAAAUUAAGAAAUCUCGAGCUUAUUUACAAUUCAAGCAACAAAACAAUCAGAAAAUCAUCAUUGGAUCCAUUUCUGUUACAAUGUAAAUCAUUGUAGUUAAGGAGACGAACUUUCAGUUCUGGAAAGGGGUCAUAAAACUGAAAUCUAUUGGACAAGAUUAAAAUAGUGGGGGUAAAUUAAAUUUCAUUAGAAACCA
Molecule: long non-coding RNA, 638 nt
Organism: Populus euphratica (Euphrates poplar)
Lineage: Eukaryota; Viridiplantae; Streptophyta; Magnoliopsida; Malpighiales; Salicaceae
Exons: 2
Source: RefSeq, a predicted model, not a curated record